GGAGAGAGGUGAACCAGGAUUCCCUGGAAAACCAGGAGAGGCCGGCCUGAGAGGAAAAGAUGGAGAAGCUGGAGUCCCUGGAGAGCCAGGAGUGAGAGGAAUCAGGGGUCCUCCUGGACCCCCAGGACGUCCUGGAGAACAAGGAAUGAAAGGAGAUCCAGGAGAACCUGGGAAGGAUGUAAGGAAUCCCUGAAGGAGCAGC
Non-coding RNA from Lonchura striata (white-rumped munia), 202 nucleotides. The record is from RefSeq and is a predicted model, not a curated record. Lineage: Eukaryota; Metazoa; Chordata; Aves; Passeriformes; Estrildidae.